AGCGAACGCUGGCGGCAGGCCUAACACAUGCAAGUCGAGCGCCCAGCAAUGGGAACGGCAGACGGGAUAGUAACACGUGGGAACGUACCUUUCAGUUCGGAACAACCCAGGGAAACUUGGGCUAAUACCGAAUACGUCCGUAAGGAGAAAGAUUUAUCGUUGAAAGAUCGGCCCGCGUCUGAUUAGCUAGUUGGUGAGGUAAUGGCUCACCAAGGCGACGAUCAGUAGCUGGUCGAGAGGAUGAUCAGCAUCACUGGGACUGAGACACGGCCCAGACUCCUACGGGAGGCAGCAGUGGGGAAUAUUGGACAAUGGGCGCAAGCCUGAUCCAGCCAUGCCGCGUGGAUGAUGAAGGCCUUAGGGUUGUAAAGUCCUUUCGGCGGGGAAGAUAAUGACUGUACCGGGAGAAUAAGCCCCGGCUAACUUCGUGCC
This 432-nucleotide ribosomal RNA is filed under the name uncultured bacterium. RNAcentral's name for it is "bacterial SSU rRNA". It matches the Rfam family "Bacterial small subunit ribosomal RNA", at positions 29 to 509 of the family's 1533-position model. The record is from RNAcentral.